RNAcentral lists this ribosomal RNA (429 nucleotides) under Chloroflexota bacterium. RNAcentral's name for it is "Chloroflexi bacterium partial 16S ribosomal RNA". It matches the Rfam family "Bacterial small subunit ribosomal RNA", at positions 355 to 776 of the family's 1533-position model. Lineage: Bacteria; Bacillati; Chloroflexota. The record is from RNAcentral.
UGGGGAAUAUUGCACAAUGGGCGCAAGCCUGAUGCAGCCAUGCCGCGUGUAUGAAGAAGGCCUUCGGGUUGUAAAGUACUUUCAGUCGGGAGGAAGGUGGUAAGGUUAAUAACCUUAUCAAUUGACGUUACCGACAGAAGAAGCACCGGCUAACUCCGUGCCAGCAGCCGCGGUAAUACGGAGGGUGCAAGCGUUAAUCGGAAUUACUGGGCGUAAAGCGCACGCAGGCGGUUGAUUGAGUCAGAUGUGAAAUCCCCGGGCUCAACCUGGGAACUGCAUUCGAAACUGGCAGGCUAGAGUCUUGUAGAGAGAGGUAGAAUUCCAGGUGUAGCGGUGAAAUGCGUAGAGAUCUGGAGGAAUACCGGUGGCGAAGGCGGCCCCCUGGACAAAGACUGACGCUCAGGUGCGAAAGCGUGGGGAGCAAACAGG